Jaculus jaculus (lesser Egyptian jerboa) is the source of this 137-nucleotide small nucleolar RNA. NCBI's taxonomy places the organism in Eukaryota, Metazoa, Chordata, Mammalia, Rodentia, Dipodidae. The record is from Ensembl.
UUUCCCAUUUGACUACCACAACUUCUCCUAAUAGAAUUUAGUGGCUAUGCUUGUGGGAUAGAUUAAAGGCGCCAUGAUCUUAAGAGGGAGGGUUUUUCAGUGUCCUCCCUUUAUAUGAAAUGGCUGAACAGAAAUAG